GUAUAUUAAAGAUUGUUUCAGUUAAAAAGCUCGUAGCUUGGAUUUCUGACAGGAGCGACCGGUCUCGAAUCCUUCGUGGUUCGUGUUUACUUGUGUGGUCCGUCUCUAGUCAUCCUUACGGAGAACGUGUGUGUCAUUAACUUGGCGUGCAUGGGAACCGUAUCGUUUACUGUGAAAAAAUUAUAGUGUUUAAAGCAGGCAAUCGCUGUGAAUACAUUACCAUGGAAUACUAAGCAUAGGGCAUUGGUACUAUUUUGUUGGUUUGUAUACCAAGGUAAUGAUUAAGAGGGACAGUUGGGGGUAUUCGUAUUUAAUUGUCAGAGGUGAAAUUCUUGGAUUUAUGAAAGACGAACUACUGCGAAAGCAUUUACCAAGGAUGUUUUCAUUAAUCAAGAACGAAAGUUAGGGGAUCGAAGAUGAUUAGAUACCAUCGUAGUCUUAACCAUAAACUAUGCCGACUAGGGAUUGGUGGACGUUAUUUGAACGACUUCAUCAGCACCUUAUGAGAAAUCAAAGUCUUUGGGUUCCGGGGGGAGUAUGGUCGCAAGGCUGAAACUUAAAGGAAUUGACGGAAGGGCACCACCAGGAGUGGAGCCUGCCGGCUUAAUUGACUUCCACCCCGGGGAA
RNAcentral lists this ribosomal RNA (627 nucleotides) under Thraustochytriidae sp. strain C42. RNAcentral's name for it is "SSU rRNA". It matches the Rfam family "Eukaryotic small subunit ribosomal RNA", at positions 599 to 1212 of the family's 1831-position model. Lineage: Eukaryota; Bigyra; Thraustochytrida; Thraustochytriidae. The record is from RNAcentral.